CUGAACCGUCGACACGAGUUGUUGCUGGUCCUCGGAAGGGGGCAUGUGCACGCUCUGUUUACACAUCCACUCACACCUGUGCACCCUCUGUAGUUCUAUGGUCAUGGGGGCUCAGCCCUCUCGCCGUGGUCCUACGUCUUUACACACACACCGUAACAAAGUCUCAUGGAAUGUAUGUCGCGUUCAACGCAAUACAAUA
Molecule: unclassified non-coding RNA, 199 nt
Filed under: uncultured fungus
Lineage: Eukaryota; Fungi
Also listed under: 1 other name
Description: sequence contains ITS1, 5.8S rRNA gene
Source: RNAcentral